This 113-nucleotide ribosomal RNA is filed under the name Octodon degus (degu). The record is from RNAcentral. Lineage: Eukaryota; Metazoa; Chordata; Mammalia; Rodentia; Octodontidae.
GUCUACGGCCAUACCACCCUGAACGCACCCGAUCUCGUCUGAUCUCUGAAGCUAAGCAGGGUCGGGCCUGGUUAGUACUUGGAUGGGAGAAGACAAGCAUGGCUCAGUGGGCA